GGGGGGCACAAAAAGAGAAAAAGCAGAGACAAUGUGAUCAAAGCAAGAGACAAGAUGGAGUGUCAUACCUGCGUUCCAGAAUUUGCCAUCAGUUUAUGUUACAGUUACUCUACCUGUGAGAAGCCUCUGGGACACUGGAGUUUAAAUCCCAGCCCCCUACUUACUCUGGACAGCAUCUUGCACUCUAAAAGGAGUUUCUCACUGAUAAGAUGAAAAUGGCACUUCUGCAACCAGGAAGUGAUGCAGAGAUUAACCAAGCCAGUGUGCCUAAUGUACGACACAGUCUUCAGACUCAGAAAGAGGCAUUAUAUUUACACAAAAUGUUGUCUGAUCUCUGUAACUGAAAGUGACAGUUUGGCCGGGUGCGGUGGCUCAUGCCUGUAAUCCCAGCACUUUGGGAGGCCGAGGCGGGCGGAUCAUGAGGUCAGGAGAUCAAGACCAUCCUGGCUAACAUGGUGAGACCCCGUCUUUACUAAAAAUACAAAAAACUUAGUCAGGCGUGGUGGCGGGUGCCUGAAGUCCCAGCUACUCGGGAGGCUGAGGCAGGAGAAUAGUGUGAACCUGGGAGGUGGAGCUUGCAGUGAGCUGAGAUUGGGCCAAUGCACUCCAGCCUGGGCGACAAAGUGAGAGUCCAUCUCAAAAAAAUAAAAUAAAAUAAAAAUAAAAAUAAAAAUAAAAAUAAAAAAGUUAGCCAGGUGUGGUGGCAUUUGCCUGUGGUCCCAGCUACUCGGGAGGCUGAGGUAGGAGGACUGCUUGAGCCUGGAGGUCAAGGCUCCAGUGAGCCAUGAUUGUGCCACUGCAUUCCAGCCUGGGUGAUAGAGUGUGACCCUGUCUCACACACAUAGAAAAGGAAGCAAUAAUUUGCAAAAACAGAGUCUGUUUUGGAUUCUUCCAUAGGGUGGCUUUUACCUGUGAACUCAACUGGGGAUCAGUAAACCAACAGGUGACUCUUCUUGGUCAAACCAGAAAGGGUUCACUUAACUUGAAAUUUUACAGAAUCACCAAGAGAAUUAACUGGGGUCCAGGUGGCUAUAGUAAAAAGUAAAAUAAAAUAACACAAACAUAAGGUGCAAACACCUGAGUGUGCAUUUUGGCUCAGGCUUGAGCUAUUCACUUUACUUCCUGAGGACCCGUUUCCUCAUAUUUAAAAGUGGAGUAAAUAUAGCUGCCUUCUUCCCUUGCAGAGUUAUGAUCUCUGAAUGGGACAACACACAGGAAACACAGCCUAGAACUCCUGUCUUCACUUCUUGCCUCCUGUUCACUCUUAAAAUUCCUUCUGCCCCACUCUCCACUAAAACUUCCCUCCUAACACACAAAUCCUACAGGAACUGUGGGUUAUUAUCUCUGCACUCAGAUUAUCUCUGUGACAGUUGACUUCAACAGAUGCACCCUCCCUAACACUGAAAACUCUCCCACUUUAGUCUUUCCCCAAUUGAUAGUUGUCUCAUGUUUCUUUGCUGGUUUGUUGUACUCUACAAUCACUGGUUAUAUUCCCUGGAGUGCCUGUCUGAGCAUAUUCACACAGGACACCCCCUCACACACUCCCAUGAUCAACUAGAGCCUACUUGUUGAUAAUCAUCUAGACCAGGGAUCAAGAAACUAUUGCCCCGGGUCAGAUCCAGCCCACUGUCCAUUUCUGUAAAUAAAGUUUUAUUGGAACACAGCCACAUUCACUCAUUCAUGUACUGUCCAUGGGAACUUCUGCGUAGUAAUAGCAGAAUUCAGAUGCAGAGAGACAACAAAGCCUAAAAUAUUUACUAAAUGAUCCUUUACAGAAAAGUUACACUGAUGCUUCAUUCAGACUUGUGUCCAAAGUCACACUUGUAUUUAUGUCUCCAACGAAUCAUGCCAACGUCUAUACCUCACAGGCCCCUCUGAAACAUCUGACAGUCAACAGUUUACAAACAACCAUUUCAACCUCAUGUCGCGUUCAGUUAAUACAUGAUUCCUACCCUGGAACACAGGGUUCAUUGCAGCAGUGCCUUCUGUGACCACAUAAAUUUGUGACAAAAUAAGUUCAAUCUUCCUCCUACUUUCUAAAUUUUUCCUUAUCUUAACCCACUACCUCUCCGGCCUUUUCUCGAGCUGCCAUCUUUUCACCCUUGGAAUGCAUCACGUAACGAAGGGGAUGCAAUCUGAGAAAUCUGUCAUUGUGCAAACAUCACAGAAUGCACUUACACAAAUCCAGAUGGUAUAACCUACUACACACCUAGGCUAUAUGGUAUAGCCUAUUGCUCCUAGGCUACAAAUGUGUACAACAUGCUACUGUACUGAAUAUGGUAGGCAAUUGUAACACAAUGAUAAGUAUUUGUGUAUCUAAACACAUUUCAACAUAGAAAAUGUAUGGUAAAAAUAUGGUAUAAAAGAUAAAAAUAGUAGUCCCGUAUAGAGCAUUUACCAUAAACAGAGCUUGCAAGACUAGACAUUGCUCUGGGUGAGUCGGUGAGUGAUGAGUGAAUGUGAAGGCCUAGGAUAUUACCGCACCUACUGCAGACUUUAUAAAUACUAUACACUUAGGCUACCCUAAAUUUAUAAAAAAUAAAGUAUUUGCACUACGACAUUACAACAGCUACGAUGUUACCAAGUGAAAGGAAUUUUCCAGCUCCAUUAUAGUUGUAUGGGACCACCAUGGUAGAUAUGGUCUGUUAUUGACCAAAAUGUCAUCAUAUGGUGCACGGCUAUACAAAAAGCCUCUUGUUUCCCUUAUCCUCCUGUCUUACCUUCCUCUCAUUCAUCCUCCUCCUGCUGUCAGUUUUUUUUCUAACAUAAGAACUUCCAACCCUUGCUGGUGUGGAGGUUCAUGCCUAUAAUCCCAGCACUUUGGGAGGCCAAGGUAGGAAGAUCACUACAGCCCAUGAGUUCGAGACCAGUCUGGGCAACAUGGUGAGACCCUGUCUCUACGAAAAGUUUAAAAAAGUAGCCAGGCAUGGUGGUGCUCACCUGUGGUCCCAGCUAAUUGGGAGGCUGAAGUGGAACAAUCGCAUGAGCCCAGGAGGUCAAGGCUGCAGUGAGCUAUGAUCAAAGCACUGCACUCCAGCCUGGGUAACAAAGCAAGACCCUGUCUCAAAACGAAAACAAAAAACUUCCAACCCUUAUUUCUCCUUCAGUGUCCUCGAAGAUAUGACCCCUAACUCUUCAGCUACAUCUAAAAUCAUUUCUUCCUUGCCAUCCAAUACUUUAGCCAGCCAGCGACCUGCAAUAAGAUUUCCAAAACAGAAGACCAGUAUCCACCUUCAAGACAGGGGAAUGGAACCACAUUAAAUAAAUUACAUUUUAGGUACUGUGCUACAGCCCAAGUCAACCACCUUUUCUGGAGUCUCACAUGACCAUCAGAUAGAACUGUUCGCUUGCUCCUUUCUGCCACCAUUGUGCCUUGAUCUCACCUCUCUAUUAGAAACCUUAUCACGGCUGGGCAUGGUGGCUCACGCCUGUAAUCCCAGCACUUUGGGAGCCUGAGGCAGGCAGAUCACUAGGGGUCAAGAGUUCAAGACCAGCCUGACCAACAUGGUGAAACCCCUUCUCUACUAAAAAUAUAAAAAUUAGCCAGGUUUGGUGAUGCGCACCUGUAAUCUCAGCUACUUAGGAGGCUAAGGCAGGAGAAUAGCUUGAAUCUGGGGGGCAGGGAUUGCAGUGAGCUGAGAUCGCACCACUGCACUCCAGCCUGGGCAACAAGAGCCAAACUCCAUGGCAAAAAAAAAAAAAAGAAGAAAGAAAGAAAGAAAGAAAGAAAGAAAGAAAGAAAGAAAGAAAGAAAGAAAGAAAGAAAGAAAGAAAGAAAGGAAGGAAACCUUAUCACAGUGUGUCAUGAUUUUUUGUUACAUUCCAGGCCCUCUACUAGGCUGUAGCUCCCUAAAGGCAAGGGUUGCUUUAAGCAACCUUGAAGCUCUAGCACUUGCCCACUGGGUAGCACACAGUAGGCACUCAGUAAAUGCUUGCUAAGACACUAAAUGCACUGUAAACUAUAAAGUACUAUAUCAGUUGAAAGGAGAUAAACCUAUGCUACCUACUGUUCUGUGUUCAGUUCACUACUCACUUCCUAUCCUCCAGACAUAAACUGAAGAUGGGAAAAGUAAGGAUGUGAUCAAGUCCUUGCAAAUGGCCUUUGCAACUGCUGUCUCAGCAAUGGCCUGGCUCCUACUCCCAGCUGGACACAGGGCCUUUCCAGUAGCACUGACCAGUACAGGAAUGCAGGUGGAAUGGGGGAAGGUAAUUAGGAAGGAAGGUGAUGCUUUAUUUACACAGCAAUUAACAAUGCAUACUGAAGUUUAUUCAGUCAAAUAGGCAUUUACUGAAUGCAGACCAUAUGCUGGGCACUAUGUGGUGUGCAUAGCAAGCUUUUCAUGGUAAAAAAAGAAGGAUGAAAAGAAGAAAUGUAACAUGAAGAGAAAGUUAAAGGGUAAUUUGAUCUUGUUUGUAUAUUGGGAAAAGGUCAUUUUUACAAAAGAGGUAACCAGCUGUUCCUCAUCGCCAAUGAACAAAAAUCAAAAGGAAAUGGGGUUAAGCUGUGCCAUAAGGUACUGCAGUUAGGCAGAAGAAAAAAGUUGCUGACAUCAAAGGGUGUUAAACACUAUUUGUGGUUUAUAAUUUUGUGUUCAGGAGGUCCUUAGUUUCAGAGGAUCUGAGCAGUUCUAUUUGAGGAAAGGAGAUGGAACUGAUGAAUUCUCAAGAUACUUCUUGAGACCAUGAAUGAUUUUUUUGCUUUUUAAUAUGGGCUCAUGUAUAAAAUAGAUUAAGUGAUUCAAUGUUUUCAACUUCUGUAUACCAUCUGCUUUGGAAAAACUAUUAAAAUCCAGUAUGUGAGAGGGCCGACAAAGCAUGAAGAGCAGAAUAAAUUAUAAAUGACUACAAUUAAAAGGCAAAGGUUCCUGGUGGAAAGAAUACAACUUUAGAGUGCUAAUGACAGAGGUUCCCAGUGUCUUUUUGUCAUUUAUGGCCUAUUGGACCUUGCAAAAAAUGUACACAGAGCACACCAUGAAAAACAAAGCACGCAUGCACACACAGGUAUGGGCAUGCCUGCGUAUGUAUAUGCGAACACAAAGUGCCUAUGAGGAAAUAACAGUAGUCCCCUUAGGAGAGUGAUACCAUUAGCGGUUUCUAUUUCCUUCAUUGUUUUCCAAUUCUACAAUAAGCGUCUCUUAUUCUUACAGUGGGCGGUCGGGGGUGGAAAUAUCCCUCUUUGCUCAAAAAAAAUCUGGCUAGGUUUUUUUGACAAUAUAAUUCUUCAUGCCAUUCUUUAUUAUGCUAUGAACUAACUUCUCUGUUAAUCAGAACACCUGCUGUCAGCCAGAUUAUUUCCUUAUUAGUCAUUGAAGACUUCCAUGUCUUCACGACACACAGUUCCCAGCUUCUGUAGUAUUUCAUCAUAAAGGCAUGUAAAAUUGCUGUUUAAUAGCUUCUUAUUCUUAGAUACUACCCAUUCAGUUUUCUUACUUGUGAUAAAAUUACACCACUGAGAUAUGAGAAAAACUGCAGCCAACUAUAAUAAUUCUACAGUUUGGGUGGAAACAAAGGAAGGGUGGGAGUUUUGUACUAUAUUUUCAAUAAAUUUCAAUAACUUCCAAAUGUUUAUGCUUUCCAGGUUUAUUCACACCUGUGGGAUAAAAAAAAAAGCAGUAAUACAGGGUACAGCAAUGGGCUAGUUCUUUUACUGGGAUAAAUUAUAUAUUUUUUUCAUAAUUGUUAUCCCUUUGAGAUCUGGCUGAUUGAUUCAUAAAACACAGAAUCCAUUCUGUUAUCACUUAGUGUGUUAGACCAGCUGGGCUCACAGACAAGCUGAAGUACAUCACACAGGACUCAAUGGAAGUGAAGCACUUCUGGUGAAAUACAAUCCCACAGAAAAAUUACAAAGUCCUUCUUUAAAUGAUUCACUUCAUCGGUUAAUAUUCUUGGCCAUGAAUUACAUAUUAAAAAUAAAUUCAGGAGAUGUUUCAUUUAUUUAUCUGAGGUAUUAUAAUUUAAAUAAUAUAUAGAAUUUCAGAACAACAACAAACCAUAGCUUGGAGCUCACAUGUUCCCUGCCUCGAAUUUCACCAACAGGAAAAGGAGGCCUGCAAUGUGAAUGGUUUGCUCCAGGGACUGUAGCUGGUCAGUGACCUCAUUGCUACGUGGCCACAAGCCCCAUAUUCCGAAUUCUGGCACAGAUUCUUUCCUAACACGCGAGGCUGCUCAUCUAGCAAGGAUAUUGGAGAUAACAGCCCGGAAAGCAUCAUACGUGCCUCCAACUUCCAAACACUGCUUUUUAGGAAAAAGCUGCCUCCUUUUCCUAAACACAGUAGUGAAGUAGGGAAAAGCUCAGCUCUCUGGGCUAGGGAAAGAAAAGCUUGAUUUUUCACUAACACAGGGAAGACAGAGCAGUGGGUGGGAGGCGAACAGCACAAGAGAAUGUGGAGAGGCUGUGAGGGAAAACUCACAAUUCAGGGACGCCGGAGUCCUGAAAAAGAGGACACGCUGCCCACCUAUGGAAGCAGUCUAAUUUCCCAGUUUCCAUUUAUCAUCUUCAGAUCAACCACUUCCAUUUUCAGAGCUUAAGCUUUCGAAGACCUUCAAUAUGAAUGAAAUAAAUGUGGAUGUUCGCAAGACUCUUGCUUAAAAAGAACAAGUGCUGUGCCCUGUGACAAUGGAUUUUCCCAGUUCUAAGUGACCCAUUUGUAGUCGUCACCUCAUGUGCUUCAUUUCUGCGAGUGUUAGUUGGAUUCUGCCAGAAAUCCCUCUGCUUAUUUUUUUAACCAAGAGGGUGUUAUAUUCUACAUUCUGUGAAUUUGAUUACAUCAACAGGCACAUUCCACUUACCAAUGGGGUGAGGCCUAAAUAUCAUAUAUCAGCACUCUAGGAUUUAGUACCCUUACCCAGAAAAAUGAAAAUUUAAGGCUGGACGACAUUUACCCCAAAUAAAAAGCAUUCUUUGGCCAAAAGUGUUUGGGAAGAGAAUUGAAAAAAUAGCAGGCAUGAGAGUUCAAUUGGUCAAUAUUUUAAUUAUUAUGGCUUUAAUCCCUAUCUUUAUUCCUACCUCUCUCUCUUUCUUUCUUUCUUUCUUCUUUUUUUCUCUUUCUUUUUCUUCCUCCCUCUUCCUUCCUUCCUCUCUCUCUCUCUUUCCUUCUUUCUUCUUUCCCUUUCUCUCUCUCCUUCUGGUUCUUUCUUUCUUUCUUUCUUUCUUUUUCUCUCUCUCUCUUUUCUUUUCCCUUUCCCUCUCUCUCUCUUUCUUUUUCUUUUCUUUUCUUUUCUUCCCCUCUCUUUUUUUUUUGCCACCUGGCUGGAGUGUAGUGGGAGGAACAUGGCUCACUAGAGCUUCACCAACCCAGGUUCAAGUGAUCCUCCUGUCUCUGUCUCUCAUGCGGCUGGGGCCACAGGUAUGUGCCACCAACCUGGCGAACUUUUUGAGUUUUUGUAGAGAUAAGUCUCACUUUGUUUCCCAGGCUGGUCUCCAACUCCUGGUCUCAAGUAAUCCUCCUGCCUUGGCCUCCCAAAGUGCUGGGAUUACAGGUGUGAGCCACUCAUGCCUGGCCUAUCCCUUCCUUUAAAAGAGUCAAACAAUAAUAAAAAUCCAAGAACUCCUCAAAUCCCAGCUUACAUAGUAAGCUUUUCCAGAAUAAGCAAACUGGGCAUGGAUUCUACAUUUGGCCUUCUUUAUGGCAAUCACAUUUGGUCUAUUAUACAUGAAAAAUUAUAAAGUAAGAAUAUAGAAUAAAAUAAGCUCAACCACAAGAGAAAUCAGCAAUGGAUACCACUUCUGAGUGUGACAGAUAACAUGACACUUGAAGCUAUAAACUCUAAGCAGAGUUGAACCUACCCUAUGAGCCCUAGUUCACAUAUUUAUUACAUUUUAGACACCAGAGGUAAAAGCAGGACCAGUGUAAUAGAAGGUAGUCCCCACACAUAGCUGAAACUGCCAAGCCAUGAUUCCCUUUUGUUCUUCAAAACAAAAGCCAACUUGAUAGAGUUGAAGACACACCUGUCUUAAAGAGACUUUUGCUUUCUAAUAAUUUUGUUGUUGUUGUUGAGACAGGGUCUCACUCUGUCACUCAGGCGGGACUGCAGUGGCAUGAUCACGGCUCACUUGCAGCCUCAACCUCCUGAGUUCAGGCAAUCCUCCCAACUCAGCCUCCAGAGUAGCUGGAACCACAGGCACAUGGCACCACGCCCAGUUAAUUUUUUGUAUUUUUUGUAGAGAUGGGGUUACACCAUAUUGUUCACACUGGUCUCAAACUCCGGGGUUCAAGCAAUCUGCCCACCUCGGCCUCCAAAGUCCUGGGAUUACAGCCAUGCACGACUGCACCAGGCUGCUUUCUAAUAAAUUAAGUUAGAUGUGAACAAAAACAAGCUGGUGAGGUGCAGUAUACUAUGUUCCCUUCUGGGAGAAUGCACAUUAUCAGAUUAAAGACUCAGACGGAAAGCAAUCACAUUUAACAAUCGUACAAAUUUAUUUGCACAGAGAGCUAUUUUUUCCCCCACAUUACCCUUAGCAUCCUGAACAAUGUUUCUUUAACUAUAGUUUAGGAAGUGCUAGAGUGAUGGGUACCUAGGUCUCCUGCAAAUCUGCUACCUGAUCAACAUUUCAGCUUUUUUUCAGUUUAACAAAGUCAUCUUAAAAAGGAGUGUAAACACAAGUCAAACAAAACAAGCCAACAGGUGUAGGGCAGGACCGACUUCAUGCACACCUCGCCAGGGGAAUAACAACACCAAACCAGGAAAAAGACACGCGUGUCGUGACAGUCCACAUAAAUGACAUCAUGGUUGGACUCAGACUCAAAUCCAGAUCUUAAACCCUCCAAGUGUGACCCAGUGGACAUUCAACCCCUUUAAAGCGCAGUUAAAUGGGAAUAUCAUGUCCUAAAAGGUAUGAAUCAGGGUUAAAUGAGACAACAUACGAGAGUACCUGCCACAGUACCUGGCCUGGCCAUGCCUCAGGCAUUCCAUACCUUUAGUCACUUUCCAUCCUUCCCUAGUUCUCUGCGAGACAGAGGACAGGGAGGCUGAGAUACAGUCACAGAAACCAAAGCCAGGUCAUUGUGAUUGUGUAUUACAAGGUGGUAACUAAGUAUGCUUAGCUUGUAGUCCCAAAAUGAAAAAAUGUGGAAGAGCACAGGGGAACUAACAGAAGAAAUUCAAGGUCAUAGCCAUGUAAAGGCAAUUCAAUAAACUGACUGAAAUCUUGCACAAGAAAGGAGAGAGGGGGAGGGUGGGAAAAACAGUGGAGGAGAAAGGAGAGAAGGAGAAAGGGAGAGAGAGGCGGAGAGAGACACUACUCCAAGGUUAGCUCUGAGUUUUUAAGAAUGCAAGAGGAAAAUCUCCAUUUAAUAGGACCUGGAAAGAAGUUACGUUUGCAAUCUGGAAAACAGGGUUUUCAGAGUUAAUGUUACUUAACAGUCACUUUCCAAGGAGCAUGCAUAUGAGAACUAAAAGCACAGCAGUUUCAGGCACACACUUCUGUAUGCAGAUGCAUUUGCUAAUUACAAAUUUUCCCGUCACUCAGGAUGCAAUGAAGAUGUCUAAUCAAAAGUCCAUAGCGGUGAAACAGAAUGAGGUAGGGGAUACAGGCGAAUUCUGUUCACAGAUAGCCCUGUGACCUGGGACACAGUGCUCCCCACUUCUCAAAACCUGGGGUGUUUCACUUGCACGGUUUUUAGAAGCCAUCUCAAAUGUCUCCUAACAAUAGCGCGCUGCAAUCCUGGCUACCUAAAAAGUCCAUUUUUUCUCUAAGACAGAGACAUUUUAUCUGCCCCUCACAUGGAUCAAAUAUCCCCAGUAAUAUUGAAAAGUAAUAUGACCUUUAUUCACAGCAUCAACUCAAGAUGUGGAUGGAGCUUGGUGUAGCUAAAACAGCAGACAUGACAUUGCAGCUGCUGUUACCCCCACUCUCUAAGCAGGUAAUAUUAUUAGCCAGGUAUUGUGCUGAGAACCUUACUUUUGUAUGGACUUCUCCAUGAGGUAUCCUCACUUCACCCAUGAGAAAACUCCUGAUUCCAGCCAAUUCCUUCAUCAAGGACUGCAGCUGGUAAGUGGCGGAGGCAGGAUUCCAAGCCAGGCAGGUUUCACUUCAAGAUCUGUUCCCUUUGUCACUAUAGCUGCUGUUCAUUCACAACAGGAAUUUAGAUACUGUUACAUUUAUUCCAAGUUUUUGCAUUUUAUAAAGACUAUAAAAACCAGUUUUUGCUUUAACAAAAUCUGACACAGUAUAGGUGGUUCCUUGACAGAUGAGCCACGUGCAAGCUGAGGGCAGAAAGGGAACUUGUGGGUGAACUGAUCCUCAAUGCCCCCUUGAGCUUGGGAUCUGAGAAGCAUGGGGGCAUUCGCAUAGGUGAGUAGGGUCACAUGACUACCUGGUGAGCCACAGUGCCAGGACCAGAGCACAGGGCUUGGACUCCAGAGUUAGGGUUCUGGCCAGUUUAAGAUUUUCAUCCGGGGUCGUUUUCCAUAUGUAGAUUUCGCAGAGUUAAUGUUCUGUUCAUAACUAGGGCAAAUCGGUAGGAAAUUACAAAGGGGAGUAUAUUCCCAGUGCCUUGUCAUACUUGAGGAAAUGAAAGGAUUUAAACAUAUCUGGCUUGAAAAAAUAUUUUCUCUACAAAGUUAAUCUACAAUUACAUUUAAUGUGAAAUAUUAUAUAGAAAAACAUCCCAUGUGUUUUUGUUGCUAGAGGACAUUUUAUAGUUUAUGUUUUAUUACUGGUCCCUGGUGUGUUUCUGAAAAACUCCCUCUGGGGAAGUUUAUUCCGGAUAACGGCUGACUUUAGCCAUGAGCAUUUCCAAUCAUCUCACACGCAGAGUCUCCAGGGCAUGUGAGAGUGUAUCAUGUUGUCCAAAGGCCUGCGAUAUUUGCUUUUCAAUAAUGCAAAUACAGCUCUGGCAUGGGGCGGCUCCCUUGGCGUUGACAAAAGAGAACACAAACAGUAACGUUGCCAAAAUCACUUUCCUGGUUGGCCACAGCAUUUUGUAGUACCUAAUGUUUUGUGAAACCAAACACCCCCAAAAAACUCUCUGAACUUCUUUCUGUAAUGUUCCAAUAUAUUCAAAAAUAUUUCCAAGACUACCAAAGUUUGUCACAUAAAGGUUAAGCUUGAUUAUUUAUUGUUUCAUGGUUUCUCCAUCACACCAUAGUUAGGUUAAUUUACAUAUAAAUGCUAUUUUUUGAGAUCUGAGAGAAAAACACACCCUGAGAUGUGCCAGGUUUGCUCUGCGGCUCGCUUACCCCAGCUCUACAUCACGUGCAUGAGUGUACCCCUGAUGGAGAAGGACGGGGAUAUGAUAUUGAAGACACCAGGUACUACACAGAAAAUCAAGACAACGAAAAAUGAGGCUGAAAUGUACACACGUAUGUAUCUGCCCACUGCACCUCCUUCUCCUUGAGGUGGUUCUCUUUUCCCCAUGGAGCCUUUCUCCCAGAAUUCCUGCCCUAUUGCAGGGUAUUUUUCCUCCAGACCCUCAAAAAUCUAGCACUCUUCCUAUGAAAAGGACUCCCUGGAAUUGAUCAUUCCUAUAUCCUUUCAAGGCAACUGUAGUAGGCUGAAUAACAGCCCCCACAGAUGUUCACACCCUAAUCCCUGAAACCUAUAAACGUUACUUUAGGUGGCAAAAAGGAAAUGUGAAGGUAUAGUAAAGGAUCUUGAAGUGGGGAGAUGAUCUGAGAUUGGGUGGGCACUAAAUGGAAUUCCAAGUGUCCACAGAGAGAGAGAUUUCACUACAGCAUUGGAGAAAGCAAUGUGACAACAGAAGCAGAGAAUGAAGAGAUACAUUUUGAAAAUGAGACUCGAAGGGGCCACAAACCAAGGAAUUUAUCAUUUUUAAAAAGCCAUCAGAAUCCAGCAUCUGCUAGGAGCUGAAAAAGCAAGGACACAUUCUCCCCGGAGCCCACAGAACCUAAGAGAAUAACUUACUGUUGUUUUAAGCCACUACAUUUGUGGUAAUCUGUUGCAGUGGCCACAGGAAAUGAACAUGCCCACCGUCCAGGUGCCCUUCGCCUGCCAUUCUCUUCACACUUUCACGCCUUUAGUUGCAGGGACACCUGACAUGUUUAGUUACAUUUACAUGUAGUUAUAGCCACAUUUUACUACCUACUCAACAAGGGUACCCUAGUUCAGGUACUUGUACAAAACAUUACAACCUGCUUUACACAAAUUAAAAAAUUAUCCUCUUUACAAAAUAAUUCUCUUUAAAGAAUUUCUUGGCCGGGCGCGGUGGCUCACGCUGGUAAUCCCAGCACUUU
This is a long non-coding RNA of Symphalangus syndactylus (siamang), 12195 nucleotides long. RefSeq lists it as uncharacterized. The record is from RefSeq and is a predicted model, not a curated record. Lineage: Eukaryota; Metazoa; Chordata; Mammalia; Primates; Hylobatidae.